Molecule: ribosomal RNA, 496 nt
Filed under: uncultured bacterium
Lineage: Bacteria
Description: partial 16S ribosomal RNA
Rfam family: Bacterial small subunit ribosomal RNA
Source: RNAcentral
GAUGAACGCUGGCGGCGUGCCUAAUACAUGCAAGUCGAGCGAGCAGACGAGGAGCUUGCUCCUCUGACGUUAGCGGCGGACGGGUGAGUAACACGUGGAUAACCUACCUAUAAGACUGGGAUAACUUCGGGAAACCGGAGCUAAUACCGGAUAAUAUAUUGAACCGCAUGGUUCAAUAGUUAAAGACGGUUUUGCUGUCACUUAUAGAUGGAUCCGCGCCGCAUUAGCUAGUUGGUAAGGUAACGGCUUACCAAGGCGACGAGGCGUAGCCGACCUGAGAGGGGAACAGGCCACACUGGAACUGGGAAACGGUCCAAACUCCAACGGAAGGCAGCAGUGGGAAAACUUCCGCAAUGGGCGAAAGCCUAACGAGGCAACGCGGGGUGGGUGAUGAGGGUCUUCGGAUCGUAAAACUCUGUUAUUAGGAAAGAACGAAGGUGUAAGUAACUAUGCACGUCUUGACGGUACCUAAGCAGAAAGCCACGGCUAACUACGU